GGCCGGGGCCGUGGCCGGGGUUGUGGACGUCUAGUUGGUCAGAGACAGUCAUGCGACCAGGCUGAAAUAGGAGGUCAGAUCCAGGUUGAGGAGAAGAAACAGCAGCCCGAGGAGGAGCAGCCGCAUCAGUGCAGAGUAGCACGUCCUUGUGAGCAACUCCUAUCAGCGUCAGCGGCAGCUGCCCUGAUCAAGCUCAAUGAGGCGGAAUAGCAGCCCAAGCAGAAGUGUAUGGCUUUCAGAAAACUUCUAGCUUGUCACACUGUUUGAGCUCGGCUCGAGGCCUAAACAAGCCAAGCUCAAGCCAACAGGAGCGGGUUUAGUCGCCUUUGCUGACUGAUAAUUCGAACUUGUUAACUAGGAAGAGCUCAUCUGGUGAUCACUGCCGCUUCUUGUGAUAGAUAUUUAUUUAUCUCAUGUGUGUGUCUGCUCUGGUUUGAUGUUGGAUUAGAACAUCUGAUAUACACUUGGAAUGCAUGAAAACUAUCAGUAUGGACUGACUAAUGACAGUACAAAAGCUUUUUCU
Long non-coding RNA from Lolium rigidum, 523 nucleotides. RefSeq lists it as uncharacterized. The transcript has 2 exons. The record is from RefSeq and is a predicted model, not a curated record. NCBI's taxonomy places the organism in Eukaryota, Viridiplantae, Streptophyta, Magnoliopsida, Poales, Poaceae.